RNAcentral lists this ribosomal RNA (427 nucleotides) under uncultured Bacillus sp. RNAcentral's name for it is "bacterial SSU rRNA". It matches the Rfam family "Bacterial small subunit ribosomal RNA", at positions 353 to 772 of the family's 1533-position model. The record is from RNAcentral. Lineage: Bacteria; Bacillati; Bacillota; Bacilli; Caryophanales; Bacillaceae.
AGUAGGGAAUCUUCCGCAAUGGACGAAAGUCUGACGGAGCAACGCCGCGUGAACGAUGAAGGCCUUCGGGUCGUAAAGUUCUGUUGUUAGGGAAGAACAAGUACCAGAGUAACUGCUGGUACCUUGACGGUACCUAACCAGAAAGCCACGGCUAACUACGUGCCAGCAGCCGCGGUAAUACGUAGGUGGCAAGCGUUGUCCGGAAUUAUUGGGCGUAAAGCGCUCGCAGGCGGUUUCUUAAGUCUGAUGUGAAAGCCCACGGCUCAACCGUGGAGGGUCAUUGGAAACUGGGGAACUUGAGUGCAGAAGAGGAGAGUGGAAUUCCACGUGUAGCGGUGAAAUGCGUAGAGAUGUGGAGGAACACCAGUGGCGAAGGCGACUCUCUGGUCUGUAACUGACGCUGAGGAGCGAAAGCGUGGGGAGCGAA